This 497-nucleotide ribosomal RNA is filed under the name uncultured bacterium. RNAcentral's name for it is "partial 16S ribosomal RNA". It matches the Rfam family "Bacterial small subunit ribosomal RNA", at positions 28 to 507 of the family's 1533-position model. The record is from RNAcentral.
GAUGAACGCUGGCGGCGUGCCUAAUACAUGCAAGUCGAGCGAACAGACGAGGAGCUUGCUCCUCUGAUGUUAGCGGCGGACGGGUGAGUAACACGUGGAUAACCUACCUAUAAGACUGGGAUAACUUCGUGAAACCGGAUCUAAUACCGGAUUAUAUUUUGAACCGCAUUGUUCAAGAGUGAAAGACGGUUUUGCUGUCACUUAUAGAUGUAUCCGCGCUGCAUUAGCUAGUUGGUAAGGUAACGGCUUACCAAGGCAACGAUGCAUAGCCGACCUGAGAGGGUGAUCGGCCACACUAGAACUGAGACGCGGUCCAGACUACUGCGGGAGGCAGCAGUAGGGAAUCGUCCGCAAUGGGCGAAAGCCUGACGGAGCAACGCCGCGUGAGUGAUGAAGGUCUUCGGAUCGUAAAACUCUGUUAUUAGGGAAGAACAAAUGUGUAAGUAACUAUGCACAUCUUGACGGUACCUAAUCAGAAAGCCACGGCUAACUACGUG